This 459-nucleotide ribosomal RNA is filed under the name uncultured bacterium. Its description in RNAcentral is "partial 16S ribosomal RNA". It matches the Rfam family "Bacterial small subunit ribosomal RNA", at positions 338 to 795 of the family's 1533-position model. The record is from RNAcentral.
CCUACGGGUGGCUGCAGUGAGGAAUAUUGGUCAAUGGUAGGGAUACUGAACCAGCCAAGCCGCGUGAGGGAGGACGGUACAAUGUAUUGUAAACCUCUUUUGUCGGGGAACAAAACCCGGGACGUGUCCCCGGCUGCGUGUAUCCGACGAAAAAGCAUCGGCUAACUCCGUGCCAGCAGCCGCGGUAAUACGGAGGAUGCGAGCGUUAUCCGGAUUUAUUUGGUUUAAAGGGUGCGUAGGCGGACCGGUAAGUCAGCGGUAAAAUUGAGGGGCUCAACCCCUUCGAGCCGUUGAAACUGGGUGACUUGAGUUGGCGAGAAGUACGCGGAAUGCGUGGUGUAGCGGUGAAAUGCAUAGAUAUCGCGCAGAACUCCGAUUGCGAAGGCAGCGUACCGGCGCCAGACUGACGCUGAGGCACGAAAGCGUGGGGAUCGAACAGGAUUAGAUACCCUGGUAGUC